This 195-nucleotide unclassified non-coding RNA is filed under the name plant metagenome. Its description in RNAcentral is "partial contains small subunit ribosomal RNA, internal transcribed spacer 1, and 5.8S ribosomal RNA". The record is from RNAcentral.
UCUCCGUUGGUGAACCAGCGGAGGGAUCAUUACCGAGUUUACGACUCCCAAACCCCUGUGAACAUACCAUUUGUUGCCUCGGCGGUGCCUGCUUCGGCAGCCCGCCAGAGGACCCAAACCCUUGAUUUUAUACAGUAUCUUCUGAGUAAAUGAUUAAACAAAUCAAAACUUUCAACAACGGAUCUCUUGGUUCUG